This 2333-nucleotide long non-coding RNA is filed under the name Mus musculus (house mouse). The record is from RNAcentral. Lineage: Eukaryota; Metazoa; Chordata; Mammalia; Rodentia; Muridae.
AUAGAGAACAUCGGCACAACAAUCAAAGAAAAUGGAAAAUGCAAAAGGAUCCUAACUCAAAACAUCCAGGAAAUCCAGAACACAAUGAGAAGACCAAACCUACGGAUAAUAGGAGUAGAUGAGAAUGAAGAUUUUCAACUUAAAGGGCCAGCAAAUAUCUUCAACAAAAUUAUAGAAGAAAACUUCCCAAACCUAAAGAAAGAGAUGCCCAUGAACAUACAAGAAGCCUACAGAACUCCAAAUAGACUGGACCAGAAAAGAAAUUCCUCCAGACACAUAAUAAUCAGAACAACAAAUGCACUAAAUAAAGAUACAAUAUUAAAAGCAGUAAGGGAAAUGGUCAAGUAACAUAUAAAGGCAAGCCUAUCAGAAUUACACCAGAUUUUUCACCAGAGACGAUAAAAGCCAGAAGAGCCUGGACAGAUGUUACAGAGACACUAAGAGAACACAAAUGCCAGCCCAGGCUACUAUACCCAGCCAAACUCUCAAUUACCAUAGAUGGAGAAACCAAAAUAUUCCACGACAAAACCAAAUUCACACAUUACCUUUCCAGGAAUCCAGCCCUUCAAAGGAUAAUAACAGAAAAAAAAAUACAAGAACAGAAACCACAUCCUAGAAAAAGCAAGAAGGUAAUCCCUCAACAAACCUAAAGGAAGACAGCCACAAGAACAGAAUGCCAACUCUAACAACAAAAAUAAUAGGAAGCAACAAUUACUUUUCCUUAAUAUCUCUUAAUAUCAAUGGACUCAACUCCCCUAAUAAAAAGACAUAGACUAACAGACUGGCUACACAAAUAGGACGCAACAUUUUGCUGCUUACAGGAAACUCAUCUCAGAAAAAAAGAUAGGCACUACCUCAGAAUGAAAGGCUGGAAAACAAUUUUCCAAGCAAAUGGUCUGAAGAAACAAGCUGGAGUAGCCAUUCUAAUAUCGAAUAAAAUUGACUUCCAACCCAAAGUCAUCAAAAAAGACAAGGAAGGGCACUUCAUACUCAUCAAAGAUAAAAUCCUCCAAGAGGAACUAUCAAUUCUGAAUAUCUAUGCUCCAAAUACAAGGGCAGCCACAUUCAUUAAAGAAACUUUAGUAAAACUCAAAGCACACAUUGAACCUCACACAAUAAUAGUGGGAGACUUCAACACACCACUUUCACCAAUGGAAGAUCAUGGAAAGAGAAACUAAACAGGGACACAGCGAAACUAACAGAGGUUAUGAAACAAAUGGAUUUAACAGAUAUCUACAGUACAUUUUAUCCUAAAACAAAAGGAUAUACCUUCUUCUCAGCAACUCACGGGACCUUCUCCAAAAUUGACCAUAUAAUUGGUCACAAAACAGGCCUCAACAGAUACAAAAAUAUUGAAAUUGUCCCAUUCAUCCUAUCAGAUCACCAUGGACUAAGGCUUAUCUUCAAUAACAAAAUAAAUAAUAGAAAGCCAACAUUCACAUGAAAACUGAACAACACUCUUCUCAAUGACACCUUGGUCAAGGAAGGAAUAAAGAAAGAAAUUAAGGACUUUUUGGAGUUUAUUGCAAAUGAAGCCACAACAUACCCAAACUUAUGGGACACAAUGAAAGCAUUUCUAAGAGGAAAAUUCAUAGCUCUGAGUGCCUCCAAAAAGAAACUAGAGAGAGCACACAUUAGCAGCUUGACAACACACCUAAAAGCUCUAGAACAAAAGAAAGCAAAUUCACCCAAGAGGAGUAGACAGCAGGAAAUAAUCAAACUCAGGGGCCAAAUCAACCAAGUGGAAACAAGAAGAACUAUUCAAAGAAUCAACCAAAUGAGGAGCUGGUUCUUUGAGAAAAUCAACAAGAUAGAUAAACCCUUAGCCAGACUCACUAGAGGGCACGGGGACAGCAUCCUAAUUAACAAAAUCAGAAAUGAAAAGGGAGACACAACAACAGAUCCUGAAGAAAUCCAAAAAACCAUCAGAUCCUUCUACAAAAGGCUAUACUCAACAAAAUUGGAAAACCUGGAUGAAAUGGACAAAUUUCUAGACAGAUACCAGGUAAUGUAAGACCCCCGAAGGGAGACCCUCACUCAAGCCUCGGGAUGUGGCGCGGACCCAAGAGAGACGAGGAGACUGAAAUGGCGUACACACAAAGCUAUUUAAUAAAGCGGGGGGGGGGGGGGAGCCAGCGCGCUGGGGCCGAGACUCGUACACCUCUGCAUAGGGUAGAGGAGUCUCGACCACGACUCAAAUUUUUUACAAGCUUUUAAAGGCAAAAACCACAAACUGGGAGGGGGAAUGGGGAGGGAAUAGGGGAAGUUUAACAACCACAAGUUUACUCAACCAAAGAGUCAUCCCUAUGUUUGGCAAUACACCUGGCCUGUUG